Molecule: ribosomal RNA, 497 nt
Filed under: uncultured bacterium
Lineage: Bacteria
Description: partial 16S ribosomal RNA
Rfam family: Bacterial small subunit ribosomal RNA
Source: RNAcentral
GAUGAACGCUGGCGGCGUGCCUAAUACAUGCAAGUCGAGCGAACAGACGAGGAGCUUGCUCCUCUGACGUUAGCGGCGGACGGGUGAGUAACACGUGGAUAACCUACCUAUAAGACCGGGAUAACUUCGGGAAACCGGAGCUAAUACCGGAUAAUAUAUUGAACCGCAUGGUCCAAUAGUGAAAGACGGUUUUGCUGUCACUUAUAGAUGGAUCCGCGCCGCAUUAGCUAGUUGGUAAGGUAACGGCUUACCAAGGCAACGAUGCGUAGCCGACCUGAGAGGGUGAUCGGCCACACUGGAACUGAGACACGGUCCAGACUCCUACGGGAGGCAGCAGUAGGGAAUCUUCCGCAAUGGGCGAAAGCCUGACGGAGCAACGCCGCGUGAGUGAUGAAGGUCUUCGGAUCGUAAAACUCUGUUAUUAGGGAAGAACAAAUGUGUAAGUAACUAUGCACGUCUUGACGGUACCUAAUCAGAAAGCCACGGCUAACUACGUG